AGUGAACGCUGGCGGUAGGCCUAACACAUGCCAGUCGAACGGCAGCACAGUAAGAGCUUGCUCUUACGGGUGGCGAGUGGCGGACGGGUGAGGAAUACAUCGGAAUCUACUUUUUCGUGGGGGAUAAAGUAGGGAAACUUACGCCAAUACCGCAUACGACCUACGGGUGAAAGCAGGGGAUCUUCGGACCUUGCGCGAUUGAUUGAGCCGAUGUCGGAUUAGCUAGUUGGCGGGGUAAAGGCCCACCAAGGCGACGAUGCGUAGCUGGUCUGAGAGGAUGAUCAGCCACACUGGAACUGAGACACGGUCCAGACUCCUACGGGAGGCAGCAGUGGGGAAUAUUGGACAAUGGGCGCAAGCCUGAUCCAGCCAUACCGCGUGAGUGAAGAAGGCCUUCGGGUUGUAAAGCCCUUUUGUUGGGAAAGAAAAGCAGCAGGUUAAUACCCCGCUGUUCUGACGGUACCCAAAGAAUAAGCACCGGCUAACUUCGUG
Molecule: ribosomal RNA, 492 nt
Filed under: uncultured bacterium
Lineage: Bacteria
Description: partial 16S ribosomal RNA
Rfam family: Bacterial small subunit ribosomal RNA
Source: RNAcentral